UGGCGGGGGACAACCUUCCGAAAGGAUGGCUAAUACCGCAUAAGUCGGCAGGAUCUAUGAUUUUGUCGGGAAAGGCGGGUCGCAAGAUCUGUCACCAUGAGACGAGCCCGCGUCCCAUCAUGCUAGUUGGUGAGGUAAUGGCUCACCAAGGCUUAGACGGGUAGCUGGUCUGAGAGGAUGAUCAGCCACACUGGAACUGCGACACGGUCCAG
This 212-nucleotide ribosomal RNA is filed under the name uncultured bacterium. RNAcentral describes it as "partial 16S ribosomal RNA". It matches the Rfam family "Bacterial small subunit ribosomal RNA", at positions 134 to 334 of the family's 1533-position model. The record is from RNAcentral.